GCGAUACAGGGUGACAGCCCCGUACACAAAAAUGCACAUGCUGUGAGCUCGAUGAGUAGGGCGGGACACGUGGUAUCCUGUCUGAAUAUGGGGGGACCAUCCUCCAAGGCUAAAUACUCCUGACUGACCGAUAGUGAACCAGUACCGUGAGGGAAAGGCGAAAAGAACCCCGGCGAGGGGAGUGAAAAAGAACCUGAAACCGUGUACGUACAAGCAGUGGGAGCACGCUUAGGCGUGUGACUGCGUACCUUUUGUAUAAUGGGUCAGCGACUUAUAUUCUGUAGCAAGGUUAACCGAAUAGGGGAGCCGAAGGGAAACCGAGUCUUAACUGGGCGUUAAGUUGCAGGGUAUAGACCCGAAACCCGGUGAUCUAGCCAUGGGCAGGUUGAAGGUUGGGUAACACUAACUGGAGGACCGAACCGACUAAUGUUGAAAAAUUAGCGGAUGACUUGUGGCUGGGGGUGAAAGGCCAAUCAAACCGGGAGAUAGCUGGUUCUCCCCGAAAGCUAUUUAGGUAGCGCCUCGUGAAUUCAUCUCCGGGGGUAGAGCACUGUUUCGGCAAGGGGGUCAUCCCGACUUACCAACCCGAUGCAAACUGCGAAUACCGGAGAAUGUUAUCACGGGAGACACACGGCGGGUGCUAACGUCCGUCGUGAAGAGGGAAACAACCCAGACCGCCAGCUAAGGUCCCAAAGUCAUGGUUAAGUGGGAAACGAUGUGGGAAGGCCCAGACAGCCAGGAUGUUGGCUUAGAAGCAGCCAUCAUUUAAAGAAAGCGUAAUAGCUCACUGGUCGAGUCGGCCUGCGCGGAAGAUGUAACGGGGCUAAACCAUGCACCGAAGCUGCGGCAGCGACGCUUAUGCGUUGUUGGGUAGGGGAGCGUUCUGUAAGCCUGUGAAGGUGUACUGUGAGGUAUGCUGGAGGUAUCAGAAGUGCGAAUGCUGACAUAAGUAACGAUAAAGCGGGUGAAAAGCCCGCUCGCCGGAAGACCAAGGGUUCCUGUCCAACGUUAAUCGGGGCAGGGUGAGUCGACCCCUAAGGCGAGGCCGAAAGGCGUAGUCGAUGGGAAACAGGUUAAUAUUCCUGUACUUGGUGUUACUGCGAAGGGGGGACGGAGAAGGCUAUGUUGGCCGGGCGACGGUUGUCCCGGUUUAAGCGUGUAGGCUGGUUUUCCAGGCAAAUCCGGAAAAUCAAGGCUGAGGCGUGAUGACGAGGCACUACGGUGCUGAAGCAACAAAUGCCCUGCUUCCAGGAAAAGCCUCUAAGCAUCAGGUAACAUCAAAUCGUACCCCAAACCGACACAGGUGGUCAGGUAGAGAAUACCAAGGCGCUUGAGAGAACUCGGGUGAAGGAACUAGGCAAAAUGGUGCCGUAACUUCGGGAGAAGGCACGCUGAUAUGUAGGUGAAGUCCCUCGCGGAUGGAGCUGAAAUCAGUCGAAGAUACCAGCUGGCUGCAACUGUUUAUUAAAAACACAGCACUGUGCAAACACGAAAGUGGACGUAUACGGUGUGACGCCUGCCCGGUGCCGGAAGGUUAAUUGAUGGGGUUAGCGCAAGCGAAGCUCUUGAUCGAAGCCCCGGUAAACGGCGGCCGUAACUAUAACGGUCCUAAGGUAGCGAAAUUCCUUGUCGGGUAAGUUCCGACCUGCACGAAUGGCGUAAUGAUGGCCAGGCUGUCUCCACCCGAGACUCAGUGAAAUUGAACUCGCUGUGAAGAUGCAGUGUACCCGCGGCAAGACGGAAAGACCCCGUGAACCUUUACUAUAGCUUGACACUGAACAUUGAGCCUUGAUGUGUAGGAUAGGUGGGAGGCUUUGAAGUGUGGACGCCAGUCUGCAUGGAGCCGACCUUGAAAUACCACCCUUUAAUGUUUGAUGUUCUAACGUUGACCCGUAAUCCGGGUUGCGGACAGUGUCUGGUGGGUAGUUUGACUGGGGCGGUCUCCUCCUAAAGAGUAACGGAGGAGCACGAAGGUUGGCUAAUCCUGGUCGGACAUCAGGAGGUUAGUGCAAUGGCAUAAGCCAGCUUGACUGCGAGCGUGACGGCGCGAGCAGGUGCGAAAGCAGGUCAUAGUGAUCCGGUGGUUCUGAAUGGAAGGGCCAUCGCUCAACGGAUAAAAGGUACUCCGGGGAUAACAGGCUGAUACCGCCCAAGAGUUCAUAUCGACGGCGGUGUUUGGCACCUCGAUGUCGGCUCAUCACAUCCUGGGGCUGAAGUAGGUCCCAAGGGUAUGGCUGUUCGCCAUUUAAAGUGGUACGCGAGCUGGGUUUAGAACGUCGUGAGACAGUUCGGUCCCUAUCUGCCGUGGGCGCUGGAGAACUGAGGGGGGCUGCUCCUAGUACGAGAGGACCGGAGUGGACGCAUCACUGGUGUUCGGGUUGUCAUGCCAAUGGCACUGCCCGGUAGCUAAAUGCGGAAGAGAUAAGUGCUGAAAGCAUCUAAGCACGAAACUUGCCCCGAGAUGAGUUCUCCCUGACUCCUUGAGAGUCCUGAAGGAACGUUGAAGACGACGACGUUGAUAGGCCGGGUGUGUAAGCGCAGCGAUGCGUUGAGCUAACCGGUACUAAUGAACCGUGAGGCUUAACCUU
This 2588-nucleotide ribosomal RNA is filed under the name Escherichia coli. RNAcentral's name for it is "partial 23S ribosomal RNA". It matches the Rfam family "Bacterial large subunit ribosomal RNA", at positions 354 to 2925 of the family's 2925-position model. The record is from RNAcentral. Lineage: Bacteria; Pseudomonadati; Pseudomonadota; Gammaproteobacteria; Enterobacterales; Enterobacteriaceae.